GAAGAAAGAGGGAGGCGUGCUUAACACAUGCAAGUCGAACGGUGAAGCGCCUUCCUUUUUGGUGGGUGUGGAUGAGUGGCGAACGGGUGAGUAACACGUGAGUAACCUGCCCCCUUCUUCUGGAUAACCGCAUGAAAGUGUGGCUAAUACGGGAUAUUCUGGGUCUGUCGCAUGAUGGGUCUGGGAAAGAUAUUGUUUCGGUGGGGGAUGGGCUCGCGGCCUAUCAGCUUGUUGGUGGGGUGAUGGCCUACCAAGGCGGUGACGGGUAGCCGGCCUGAGAGGGUGGACGGUCACACUGGGACUGAGACACGGCCCAGACUCCUACGGGAGGCAGCAGUGGGGAAUAGUGCACAAUGGGCGCAAGCCUGAUGCAGCGACGCCGCGUGAGGGAUGGAGGCCUGCGGGUUGUGAACCUCUUUCGCCAGUGAAGCAGGCCUGCCUCGUUUGUGGGUGGGUUGACGGUAGCUGGAUAAGAAGCGCCGGCUAACUACGUG
This 494-nucleotide ribosomal RNA is filed under the name uncultured bacterium. Its description in RNAcentral is "partial 16S ribosomal RNA". It matches the Rfam family "Bacterial small subunit ribosomal RNA", at positions 38 to 507 of the family's 1533-position model. The record is from RNAcentral.